GAGUUUGAUCAUGGCUCAGGACGAACGCUGGCGGCGUGCCUAAUACAUGCAAGUAGAACGCUGAAGAGAGGAGCUUGCUCUUCUUGGAUGAGUUGCGAACGGGUGAGUAACGCGUAGGUAACCUGCCUUGUAGCGGGGGAUAACUAUUGGAAACGAUAGCUAAUACCGCAUAACAAUAGGUGACACAUGUCAUUUAUUUGAAAGGGGCAAUUGCUCCACUACAAGAUGGACCUGCGUUGUAUUAGCUAGUAGGUGAGGUAACGGCUCACCUAGGCGACGAUACAUAGCCGACCUGAGAGGGUGAUCGGCCACACUGGGACUGAGACACGGCCCAGACUCCUACGGGAGGCAGCAGUAGGGAAUCUUCGGCAAUGGGGGCAACCCUGACCGAGCAACGCCGCGUGAGUGAAGAAGGUUUUCGGAUCGUAAAGCUCUGUUGUAAGUCAAGAACGAGUGUGAGAGUGGAAAGUUCACACUGUGACGGUAGCUUACCAGAAAGGGACGGCUAACUACGUGCCAGCAGCCGCGGUAAUACGUAGGUCCCGAGCGUUGUCCGGAUUUAUUGGGCGUAAAGCGAGCGCAGGCGGUUUGAUAAGUCUGAAGUUAAAGGCUGUGGCUCAACCAUAGUUCGCUUUGGAAACUGUCAAACUUGAGUGCAGAAGGGGAGAGUGGAAUUCCAUGUGUAGCGGUGAAAUGCGUAGAUAUAUGGAGGAACACCGGUGGCGAAAGCGGCUCUCUGGUCUGUAACUGACGCUGAGGCUCGAAAGCGUGGGGAGCGAACAGGAUUAGAUACCCUGGUAGUCCACGCCGUAAACGAUGAGUGCUAGGUGUUGGAUCCUUUCCGGGAUUCAGUGCCGCAGCUAACGCAUUAAGCACUCCGCCUGGGGAGUACGACCGCAAGGUUGAAACUCAAAGGAAUUGACGGGGGCCCGCACAAGCGGUGGAGCAUGUGGUUUAAUUCGAAGCAACGCGAAGAACCUUACCAGGUCUUGACAUCCCGAUGCUAUUUCUAGAGAUAGAAAGUUACUUCGGUACAUCGGUGACAGGUGGUGCAUGGUUGUCGUCAGCUCGUGUCGUGAGAUGUUGGGUUAAGUCCCGCAACGAGCGCAACCCCUAUUGUUAGUUGCCAUCAUUCAGUUGGGCACUCUAGCGAGACUGCCGGUAAUAAACCGGAGGAAGGUGGGGAUGACGUCAAAUCAUCAUGCCCCUUAUGACCUGGGCUACACACGUGCUACAAUGGUUGGUACAACGAGUUGCGAGUCGGUGACGGCAAGCUAAUCUCUUAAAGCCAAUCUCAGUUCGGAUUGUAGGCUGCAACUCGCCUACAAUGAAAGUCGGAAAUCGCUAGUAAUCGCGGAUCAGCACGCCGCGGUGAAAUACGUUCCCGGGGCCUUGUCACCCCCCCCGU
This 1408-nucleotide ribosomal RNA is filed under the name uncultured bacterium. RNAcentral describes it as "bacterial SSU rRNA". It matches the Rfam family "Bacterial small subunit ribosomal RNA". The record is from RNAcentral.